RNAcentral lists this transfer RNA (76 nucleotides) under Stegodyphus mimosarum. It matches the Rfam family "tRNA". Rfam says of the family: Transfer RNA (tRNA) molecules are approximately 80 nucleotides in length. Their secondary structure includes four short double-helical elements and three loops (D, anti-codon, and T loops). Lineage: Eukaryota; Metazoa; Arthropoda; Arachnida; Araneae; Eresidae. The record is from Rfam by way of RNAcentral.
GUCUUCGUGGUGUAGUGGUGAGCACGCUGGACGCGUAACCGAGAGGACGUCCGUGGUUCGAUUCCCGGCGAAGGCG